UAGGAAGUAGUAUAGUUGGAAGUACCAAGAGUUUUGAUCUCUAAGGCAUAGGUUCAAAUCCUAUCUUUCUAG
RNAcentral lists this transfer RNA (72 nucleotides) under Mobula japanica (spinetail devil ray). Its description in RNAcentral is "tRNA-Gln". It matches the Rfam family "tRNA". From Rfam's summary of the family: Transfer RNA (tRNA) molecules are approximately 80 nucleotides in length. Their secondary structure includes four short double-helical elements and three loops (D, anti-codon, and T loops). Lineage: Eukaryota; Metazoa; Chordata; Chondrichthyes; Myliobatiformes; Myliobatidae. The record is from RNAcentral. RNAcentral also lists the same sequence under 1 other name.